CGUGUAGGCGGCCAAGCAAGUCAGAGGUGAAAGCCCUGGGCUCAACCUGGGAACUGCCUUUGAAACUGCUUGGCUUGAGACCGGAAGAGGAUGGCGGAAUUCCCAGUGUAGAGGUGAAAUUCGUAGAUAUUGGGAAGAACACCGGUGGCGAAGGCGGCCAUCUGGUCCGGUUCUGACGCUGAGGCGCGAAAGCGUGGGGAGCAAACA
RNAcentral lists this ribosomal RNA (207 nucleotides) under uncultured bacterium. RNAcentral's name for it is "partial 16S ribosomal RNA". It matches the Rfam family "Bacterial small subunit ribosomal RNA", at positions 568 to 774 of the family's 1533-position model. The record is from RNAcentral.